This 209-nucleotide ribosomal RNA is filed under the name uncultured bacterium. RNAcentral's name for it is "partial 16S ribosomal RNA". It matches the Rfam family "Bacterial small subunit ribosomal RNA", at positions 568 to 774 of the family's 1533-position model. The record is from RNAcentral.
CGAGUAGGUGGCUCGAUAAGUAGGAGGUGAAAUCUCACGGCUCAACCGGGAGGCUGCCUUCUAGACUGUCGAGCUCGAGCAUGGUAGAGGCAGAUGGAAUUCCCGGUGUAGCGGUGGAAUGCGUAGAGAUCGGGAAGAACACCAGUGGCGAAGGCGGUCUGCUGGGCCAUAGCUGACACUGAAUCGCGACAGCGGUGGGAGGACAAACA